This 65-nucleotide transfer RNA is filed under the name Dipodomys ordii (Ord's kangaroo rat). It matches the Rfam family "tRNA". Rfam says of the family: Transfer RNA (tRNA) molecules are approximately 80 nucleotides in length. Their secondary structure includes four short double-helical elements and three loops (D, anti-codon, and T loops). The record is from Rfam by way of RNAcentral. Lineage: Eukaryota; Metazoa; Chordata; Mammalia; Rodentia; Heteromyidae.
GGUGGCUCAGCGGUAGAGCGCUUGCCUUGCAAGCAUGAGGCCCUGGGUUCGAUUCCACAGCACCA